CCCAGGAUGGAGGCCGCUUCAUCUUCUCACAUCGAGUGAGUUCCCAUUUUCCCCCUCCAUGAAGUUUCAAAAUCCAGUUGUGGAACUGCAAAUCCAAUGCCAUAACAAAUGCAUGGAGUGCUGCUCACUAUCUCACCUUCUUCAGGCUGGCCCUGUGUCCCACGCUGAUCAGAGUCAUGCCCAGCUGAAGGCACACACGGUACAGGUCAUGUUCCACCUCUUCUGUCAAGGCACUGGUGGCUUCAUCUAGUACUGAGAGACAAGUUAAGGCAUGUGAGGAGAAGCUUAAUGACCUCAAUGAUGCAGCUGGUGCCAGCUAUAUGGGAAGGCUCCCCUAAGCCCUCAAGUCCACCCAAACAACACUGGUUGCCUCAUUCAUCUUCCUUAAAAGCUGCACAUUGCUGUACUGCCCUCACCAUUGUGACAGCCAAGGUGUUGCCUUCCCAAGACUGCACACCACUGUGCCUGGCCAAGGACCCAUAUACAGCAGCCAUGAUGGACUGGGGCAGCUCCCUGUCAGUUAAGGGUAAGUACUACAGACCAGAACAAAUGAAUUCUAUUUAUCUCACAUAAUCUACAGCUUUUAGUUUCCAAUCCAUGAGUCCCUGCACUGAGCAGUGCUGUAGACUUCAGAAGAAGAGCAGGACUUAAACAUGGCUUUUGCUGCUAACAUGGCUCUGCUCGCCCACAUGUACUUUGGCCCCUGACACCUCUUCCAACAGCCCUCAGCAGCUACUAGCCAUUUAAACAUGUAAAGGAAUUAGGAACCACCUGCAACUAUGAGCUUCUUUGUUCCAUGCUAUGCAGAUAAAGAAACAUUUUCACCUCUGAAUCCUGUGUGCUAUACUACCUAAUGUCACCAUUAUGGCCAAGCCUCUGCACCAGCUUUUGUUUAUGGCAAAGGUCCUACCUCUCUUCUAUAGUCACUC
Lagopus muta (rock ptarmigan) is the source of this 929-nucleotide long non-coding RNA. RefSeq lists it as uncharacterized. The transcript is spliced from 3 exons. The record is from RefSeq and is a predicted model, not a curated record. NCBI's taxonomy places the organism in Eukaryota, Metazoa, Chordata, Aves, Galliformes, Phasianidae.